AUCCACGCGCUCCUACUAUCACUGUCGUGUGGGUCAUGUUUGUCAGUGUUCUCCUCAAGCUCAGGAUGGUAACAAAUCCCGCGCUGCUCGCCGAUAUGGGUGGGAGGCAGGUGCUGGGAUCCCUCUGACCUCGGAAUCGGGCUUCGCCCGAUUAUAAAACAAUGCACUGCCUUCCCUUCUUGGCUACAACCGCGUGGAUCGGGCAAAACUUUGUGCAUCCUUGCUGUGGACAAGGAUUGGGUGCCGCCGGUGCCGCUGCUGGGGAUCUUCGUCUGCACAGGCGCUCGGGUCACGACGGUCGCCUGGGUGCUUCACCAGGCCGUGGGGUUGAUAUCAGUGGUCUCAGCUGGCCAAAUCGGUGGGCAAGGGGAAGGGAAUUUCUCAUCAGCACGCCUCCGUCGCCGCUGUUCUGUCGUACCGCGUCGACAACCUCAUCCUCGUCACCAUCGACGGUGAGAACGCCUCUGUAUGGCUCGCCUUCAUCUCUGCUCCGUCUACCGUCCCUUGGAUUUGAGGAUUUGUGCUCAGAUCGGCAGGCGGCCGUGCACCGGUAAUGGCACCACCGUAGGGUGGCUGGCGCCGCCGCUGUUCGCGUCCGGUGUGGUGCAAGCGUACUAGGGUUGCAGAUGACCGUUGGAUCCUAUUCAACGUUUGUGAUCCAAUCAACGAGAUACCGGUUCGGGAAUAGAUCGUAACCGUUGGGAAAUGCAUUGAGUGGUUAGGAUUAAAGAUAAGGAACUCGUUCGGUCGAUGCGAUCGUAGCCCUCGAUUUGAAAUUGGACGGUUCCGGUUGCUUACCAGUUAGAGUUAUAUGGAACCUAAUCCUGACCUUGUGCCACCGAUCGGACGGCUAGGAUCGUCUGAUACCCCUUUGACCAGUGUGUCUUGCAAAAGAGACCCUGGGUUUUCAUACAUUCAACCUACCGUCCACACCUGUGGUAAAGUAAUUGCACCUGGACCCAGAAAUUUGUGAACUAAACCCUGUGUUUACUGGUAUUUAUGCCAGCAGCCCAGUGAGCACCUAAAAUGAAUAAAACAAUUUAGAAAAUGGUUUCCAAUAUAGAAAUAAUUCUAGAAUAUUGUUUAAUUCAUAGAAAAAUUAUUUUAAUUCAUUUUUGAUCCAUUCCAGUUGCGUUGAAUUCAUAAUAAUAUUGUUUAUCAUCUAGUAACCUUGUGUUGUUAUAAACAUAUAUUAGAAGUUAUACACUUAGUUUCUUUUAAUCCAACAUUUAAAACUCCGGAAAUCCAUAACUUCUUCGUUCUAAUUCUGAUUUGGUCCGUUCAAGUCGCGUUAGCUUGAUAUGAAUAUUUACCAUACAGUAAACACGUGCCACCACAAGGGUGACAUGGGACGCCCUUGGCUGACUAACUAGGAAAGCUAGUGGAGGACUACCUACCUAAUAGAGGCAAGGGCAGUAGGGGAGUAGGCGUGUAGGGAGGUUACCGGGUUGAUUUUGCUGCGAUGGCGAUCAGACGGGGGAUUCCUGCAUUGCUCUUCCUAGAAACUGUAGCGGGUUUUCUGAAGCUAGUGGAACUUUGUAUAGGCCUCGUAGUGGAUCCCUAGCCAUUCACCUCGGAAGUGUCUAAGGGCCUUGCAAACCCUGGCGAGAUGGGAUACACGACUUGUGGGUACAGGGUACAACCUCUGCAGAGUGUAAAAUUGGUAUACUAGCCAUGCUCGCGGCCAUGAGCAGCUCAGGACUCUCGCAUGAUUGAAUUAUGGAACUAAUUCAAUUUGUCAUUUGCAUUGCAUGGGAUUUAUUAUUAAUUUUGUUCUAUUAUUAUUAUGAUUUGGUAUUUACUUACAUUUAGUAACUGCUAAUAAAAAAUUGACCAACUUAUUAAAAGCAAUGCUCAGCUUUAAGCCCUAUUAUUGAUUAGCCUUACACUUCACAUGAACUCCCGCCUUUGGUGAGUUCAUGCACAUUAUUCCCCACAACUUGUUGAGCGAUGAACAUAUGUGAGCUCACCCUUGCUGUCUCACACCCCCCACAGGUCAGGAACAGGUACCACAGGAUGAGGCGCAUGGAGGAUGUUGUGAUGUGUUCGUGAGAGGUCUAGGUCAUCGUCUCCCAGUCAACUUUAGGUUGUUGGAUCGUUGUCUCCUUACGAUGUAAUUUUUUAUUUAUUUUGUACAGAACUCCGAUUAUAUAGUAAAGUUGUAAAAUUCGUUUCUGUACCUUGAUUCAUCAUAUGUGUGAGACUUGGUCCCGGC
This 2215-nucleotide long non-coding RNA is filed under the name Zea mays. RNAcentral describes it as "long non-coding RNA (ZMAY_LNC003188)". The record is from RNAcentral. Lineage: Eukaryota; Viridiplantae; Streptophyta; Magnoliopsida; Poales; Poaceae.